ACGAACGCUGGCGGCGUGCUUAACACAUGCAAGUCGAACGGAAAGGCCCUGCUUUUGUGGGGUGCUCGAGUGGCGAACGGGUGAGUAACACGUGAGUAACCUGCCCUUGACUUUGGGAUAACUUCAGGAAACUGGGGCUAAUACCGGAUAGGAGCUCCUGCUGCAUGGUGGGGGUUGGAAAGUUUCGGCGGUUGGGGAUGGACUCGCGGCUUAUCAGCUUGUUGGUGGGGUAGUGGCUUACCAAGGCUUUGACGGGUAGCCGGCCUGAGAGGGUGACCGGCCACAUUGGGACUGAGAUACGGCCCAGACUCCUACGGGAGGCAGCAGUGGGGAAUAUUGCACAAUGGGCGGAAGCCUGAUGCAGCAACGCCGCGUGCGGGAUGACGGCCUCGGGUUGUAAACCGCUUUCGCCUGUGACGAAGCGUGAGUGACGGUAAUGGGUAAAGAAGCACCGGCUAACUACGUG
RNAcentral lists this ribosomal RNA (466 nucleotides) under uncultured bacterium. RNAcentral's name for it is "partial 16S ribosomal RNA". It matches the Rfam family "Bacterial small subunit ribosomal RNA", at positions 29 to 507 of the family's 1533-position model. The record is from RNAcentral.